CGGGAUGUAGCGCAGCUGCUAGCGCGCGUGGUUUGGGACCACGAUGUCGCAGGUUCGAACCCUGUCAUUCCGACCA
RNAcentral lists this transfer RNA (76 nucleotides) under Clostridia bacterium. Its description in RNAcentral is "tRNA-Pro". It matches the Rfam family "tRNA". From Rfam's summary of the family: Transfer RNA (tRNA) molecules are approximately 80 nucleotides in length. Their secondary structure includes four short double-helical elements and three loops (D, anti-codon, and T loops). Lineage: Bacteria; Bacillati; Bacillota; Clostridia. The record is from RNAcentral.